AUACGAAGGGCCCGAGCGUUAAUCGGAAUCAUUGGGCUUAAAGGGUGCGUAGGCGGGCCCGCAAGUGUCUUGUGAAAUACCACGGCUCAACCGUGGAAUGGCUUGGCAUACUGCGGGCCUUGAGGUCGGCAGAGGUCGCUGGAACUCUAGGUGUAGCGGUGAAAUGCGUAGAUAUCUAGAGGAACGCCAAAGGCGAAGGCAUGCGGCUGGGCCGAUCCUGACGCUGAGGCACGAAAGCAUGGGUAGCGAACGGGAUUAGAAACCCCAGUAGUCC
Molecule: ribosomal RNA, 274 nt
Filed under: uncultured bacterium
Lineage: Bacteria
Description: partial 16S ribosomal RNA
Rfam family: Bacterial small subunit ribosomal RNA
Source: RNAcentral